GAGCGUGUUAAUCUGCGUGGCUCCACCACGCGAUACCGGGGAUUGGGACGUAACACCAUCAACAGAACCCCAAAAAAUGUCUAGCCUUAUGGCUGAAAGCCGUCUCCAGUGACCUCUGGGCAUUCACACACACAAUGAUCAUACAUCAUAAUAUCGUUUGAUAAUAGCGGCAGCGGUUCCCGGAAGGAAACGGCCAGGCGGAGAUGAAAACAUAGACGAAACAUCGCUCGCUUCCCAAAAGGAAAGAACCGGACGACACUUUCAUAACCCAUCCUGCCCUAGGAAAGGGCAGACCACGGCAGGAUCGGCAUGCGUGCCGUAUGUUUCCGAGCAUCAAACCUGAAGCACAAGCCUCCCGUUUGGCGUGAUGCUGGUUAUCGAUUUAAGGGACACAACCAACACGGAGUUCGUGGAAGCGUUGCUUCGUACGGCCUAACGCGACGCCACCGAGAACUGGGAGCCCUAAAUCUCGUCCUAGCGUGUCGUCCUGUUUUCGUUCGAUCCAGGAAAAACUAAACUCGCACACAAACAGUCCGUUAUCGCUAAAAAUGGGUAGAGAAGCCAAAAAUGCUUUAACACUUUCUGUCGGCCAAAUGCGUACCCGUUUUGUGUAAAAAUAAAAAACACACAUACACUUUUCGCCCGUCAAAAAACGCGAGACGACGAAACCAA
Long non-coding RNA from Anopheles stephensi (Asian malaria mosquito), 672 nucleotides. RefSeq lists it as uncharacterized. The record is from RefSeq and is a predicted model, not a curated record. Lineage: Eukaryota; Metazoa; Arthropoda; Insecta; Diptera; Culicidae. The transcript is spliced from 3 exons.